AUUGAACGCUAGCGGGAUGCCUUACACAUGCAAGUCGAACGGCAGCACGGACUUCGGUCUGGUGGCGAGUGGCGAACGGAGUGAGUAAUGUAUCGGAACGUGCCCAGUAGCGGGGGAUAACUACGCGAAAGUCGUAGCUAAUACCGCAUACGCCCUACGGGGGAAAGCAUGGGAUCGCAUAGACCUUGCUCUAUUGGAGCAGCCGAUAUCGGAUUAGCUAGUUGGUGGGGUAACGGUCACCAAGCGACGGAUCCGUACUGGUUUGAGAGGACGACUCAGCCACACUGGGACUGAAACACGGCCCAUACUUCUACGGGAGGCAGCAGUGGGGAAUUUUGGACAAUGGGGGAAACCCUGAUCCAGCCAUCCCGCGUGUGCGAUGAAGGCCUUCGGGUUGUAAAGCACUUUUGGCAGGAAAGAAACGUCAUGGGCUAAUACCCCGUGAAACUGACGGUACCUGCAGAAUAAGCACCGGCUAACUACGUGCCAGCAGCCGCGGUAAUACGUAGGGUGCAAGCGUUAAUCGGAAUUACUGGGCGUAAAGCGUGCGCAGGCGGUUCGGAAAGAAAGAUGUGAAAUCCCAGAGCUUAACUUUGGAACUGCAUUUUUAACUACCGGGCUAGAGUGUGUCAGAGGGAGGUGGAUUCCGCGUGUAGCAGUGAAAUGCGUAGAUAUGCGGAGGACACCGAUGGCGAAGGCAUGCCUCCUUGGGGUAACACUGACGCUCAUGCACGAAAGCGUGGGGAGCACACAGGAUUA
Molecule: ribosomal RNA, 759 nt
Filed under: uncultured Achromobacter sp.
Lineage: Bacteria; Pseudomonadati; Pseudomonadota; Betaproteobacteria; Burkholderiales; Alcaligenaceae
Description: bacterial SSU rRNA
Rfam family: Bacterial small subunit ribosomal RNA
Source: RNAcentral